UCUCCUCAAAGGCAUAGAACUGUUUCUGUU
RNAcentral lists this non-coding RNA (30 nucleotides) under Mus musculus (house mouse). The record is from RNAcentral. Lineage: Eukaryota; Metazoa; Chordata; Mammalia; Rodentia; Muridae.